GGGUUGUGAGGUUAAGCGACUAAGCGUACACGGUGGAUGCCCUGGCAGUCAGAGGCGAUGAAGGACGUGCUAAUCUGCGAUAAGCGCCGGUAAGGUGAUAUGAACCGUUAUAACCGGCGAUUUCCGAAUGGGGAAACCCAGUGUGACUCGUCACACUAUCAUUAACUGAAUCCAUAGGUUAAUGAGGCGAACCGGGGGAACUGAAACAUCUAAGUACCCCGAGGAAAAGAAAUCAACCGAGAUUCCCCCAGUAGCGGCGAGCGAACGGGGAGGAGCCCAGAGCCUGAAUCAGCAUGUGUGUUAGUGGAAGCGUCUGGAAAGGCGCGCGAUACAGGGUGACAGCCCCGUACACAAAAGCGCAUGUGCUGUGAGCUCGAUGAGUAGGGCGGGACACGUGGUAUCCUGUCUGAAUAUGGGGGGACCAUCCUCCAAGGCUAAAUACUCCUGACUGACCGAUAGUGAACCAGUACCGUGAGGGAAAGGCGAAAAGAACCCCGGCGAGGGGAGUGAAAAAGAACCUGAAACCGUGUACGUACAAGCAGUGGGAGCACCCUUUUGGGUGUGACUGCGUACCUUUUGUAUAAUGGGUCAGCGACUUAUAUUCUGUAGCAAGGUUAACCGAAUAGGGGAGCCGCAGGGAAACCGAGUCUUAACCGGGCGUUAAGUUGCAGGGUAUAGACCCGAAACCCGGUGAUCUAGCCAUGGGCAGGUUGAAGGUUGGGUAACACUAACUGGAGGACCGAACCGACUAAUGUUGAAAAAUUAGCGGAUGACCUGUGGCU
Molecule: ribosomal RNA, 782 nt
Filed under: Salmonella enterica subsp. enterica serovar Cerro
Lineage: Bacteria; Pseudomonadati; Pseudomonadota; Gammaproteobacteria; Enterobacterales; Enterobacteriaceae
Description: partial 23S ribosomal RNA
Rfam family: Bacterial large subunit ribosomal RNA
Source: RNAcentral